Long non-coding RNA from Anopheles merus, 1033 nucleotides. RefSeq lists it as uncharacterized. NCBI's taxonomy places the organism in Eukaryota, Metazoa, Arthropoda, Insecta, Diptera, Culicidae. The transcript has 3 exons. The record is from RefSeq and is a predicted model, not a curated record.
AGCGAACCGCCGCGCGUGUAGAGGUGUGUGCGUGGGACGAAACAUGAUGGAUGAAAAACGCGAGGAGCGGGGUCUGAAGUCUUUCGUUGGUCACACACACAUGCAUCUACCGUUGGAUUGCGUUGAACCGAGUCUACCCAUCUCUCUCGUUCUACCAUGAUUUUUUCUGUUAUCGCACUCAUCCGGGUGUUAGGCAAUCUCAGUCUAUCCAGAACUUUCGUUGUGGAAGGAUGUGCGGGAGUGAUGUGCGAUUUCUUGUGUCCCCUACUUUCCUUGUUUACGUUUUGCGCAGUGUUGCUUCUUAUUCCGUUGUGGGAUGAUUUAUCCUAGCUAACUUGUUGAGUUACAGGUGCAUGUGCCAUUCAUCAACGCCUACGUGUUGGCAUCAUCAACAAUCUUCAAAGUGGGUGACGGAAAGAAAUUGUUUUCCAGUUUUAAAAUAUUAAGCGUUCAGCACAACUCAGCCACAAAACAACGCACUGGAUUACGCUAAGAACCUGUCGAAACGCGCGCAGCCCCCGGGAGCGGUAGGAGAAAGGAAGAACGAGAGGAGCAAAAACUAAAGCCAGCGCGCAGCUCUGAUGGUACCCCGGACGCGGUAAGGAGAAAAAAGAUCGAGAGGAGGAAGAACGGUAAAUUUUAAAGGGGGAGACCGUUCUGCCGUCUACAAAGUGUGAGUAUGGCAAAGCACGUGUUGGAACGGAGAGAAAAUGUGUGGAAUAAACUGCAUGCGAAUGUGUGUAUACACCAAAUGUAAACAUGUGUGCCUCAUCAUUUCUAUACGCAAUCCGAAAAGGGGGUGGAGCAAACACAUUGGUAUGCGUGAGGUGCAUAAAAAAUCAGAGCGUGAUAGUAUGUGUGAACGCGAUCGUUCGGGUGGAAGGUGUCUAUCCCAAGGACGAAAAAAGCGACGGCGGCCUGUGUAAUCUGAGCUCUCUACAAAGCUCUCCACGAAGCUCUAGUUUGCAGGCUUGUCGAGAGCUUCGCCACAGGCGCCCGAACCAUCCGUCACGCACACAUCUAAACGUUUUGG